Molecule: ribosomal RNA, 499 nt
Filed under: Inocybe sp.
Lineage: Eukaryota; Fungi; Basidiomycota; Agaricomycetes; Agaricales; Inocybaceae
Description: LSU rRNA
Rfam family: Eukaryotic large subunit ribosomal RNA
Source: RNAcentral
UCCCUUAGUAACUGCGAGUGAAGUGGGAAAAGCUCAAAUUUGAAAUCUGGCGGCUCUUUACCGUCCGAGUUGUAAUCUAGAGAAGUGCUACCUGUGCUGGACCGUGUACAAGUCUCCUGGAAUGGAGCAUCACAGAGGGUGAGAAUCCCGUCUUUGACACGGACUGCCUGUGCGGUUAUGGUGUGCUCUCAAAGAGUCGAGUUGUUUGGGAAUGCAGCUCAAAAUGGGUGGUAAAUGCCAUCUAAAGCUAAAUAUUGGCAAGAGACCGAUAGCGAACAAGUACCGUGAGGGAAAGAUGAAAAGAACUUUGGAAAGAGAGUUAAACAGUACGUGAAAUUGCUGAAAGGGAAACGCUUGAAGUCAGUCGCAUUGGCUAGAAAUCAACCUUGCUUUUGCUUGGUGUACUUUCUGGUUGAUGGGUCAGCAUCAAUUUUGACCACUGGAUAAAGUCUUUGGGAAUGUGGCAUCUUUUGAUGUGUUAUAGCCCAUCGUCGCAUAC